Molecule: long non-coding RNA, 5895 nt
Filed under: Pelobates cultripes (western spadefoot toad)
Lineage: Eukaryota; Metazoa; Chordata; Amphibia; Anura; Pelobatidae
Source: RNAcentral
AAUGAACCUGUGGAAAUUACCCUUUAUUCCCUCUAUGGGCUGUCUGUAUCCUCUCCCCUGUUAUUUCGGAUGUUUUUACUCAGAUUUCGUGUGUGGGAGGGAUCACCUUGUCCCUGGACAAAUCACCGAAUGCCAGACCACCCACAUGUGGAGUGCUUGUUAACCCCAGUAACCUUCAUUCACACCUCCACAAGCCGCAAUAACAUUCUAACGGCUAGCUGGCCAUCGUUCGUAUGUGCGAACACCUGGCUGCGGCCAUCUUUAACCACAAACAGAGACAGCGGUGUUUGGUCAUCGAGUGUAUGGAACUAAAAUCAGACACUCGGCUGCGCGAACACUGCUGGGACUUCCACCUCUGGUUAUGUUUGUCAUAAUUCAUAUGAACUGAGUGGCGUUCAAGGGGAACAAACUCCCAGACAAGAUACAUGGGAUGAGCUUAUGCACGAACAGUUUAUUUGUUAGUUUUCAUAUGUUUUGUACUCCAGAAAGAGACUGACUGCACAGCCUGAUUUCAUGGAACCUUCAUGGAACCUUUUUGGGCAGGCUCCUCGUGUGCGGUUGGUCUAAAAUAUACCCCGGUGGCGUUUAUGCUGCGUUCGUGGGAUCUGAGCGCUUUUCGGAUAUGUUGGGUGCUCAGAUCCAGUCUAUCCGGGGAUAUAGGACUUGAGGGGGUACCUUGAUAUUGACUGUAUGUUUUGGGGUGUUAUUACUGUAUAUGUCCUGGACCUGAGAGUUAAUAUAAUUAUGUUGUGUAUUUUAAUGCCCCUGGAAUGUGUAUCAGGAAACCCCUUGCAUGGGGAUUCACAUAAAAGGCCAUGUGUGGCUCCAUUAAAACCAGUUAUACCCCCAGAGCAGAGUGUCGUCCAGUUGCUGGGGAGGAGAUGGAAUAUUCCUGGAUUAUUUUACUGUGUUUGGCUAUCCCGUUGGAGUACUUGGACUAGAGGUCUGGUACAUAUAAAUAUAUAUAUAUAUAUAUAUAUAUAUAUAUAUAUACACACACACAUAUAAUUUAAUACAUAACAGGUAAUAAAUAUAAUAUAAAUAAGAUAGAUUAGUUAAUGUUACAGCUGUGAAACCUUCUAAAACCACAGGUUCUGUUUCCAGUCAACCCUUUCAUUCUUCGAAAGUCAUUAAAAUACAGGUGGGUAAACAAAAUGGGCAUUGUGUGCUGAAUGAAAGAAAUUAACAUAUCAAUGAAACCUUUUGUGUUAGUCUUUGGAGGUACUAAACACAUAAAUAUAUUACUACUAAGGCACUUUGGUCAUGGACCUAGGGCCUGUUCCAGUCAGGGAUCCAGUUGCAGAAGAAGUUAUGGAUCAGUUGUGGAGAUCAGCAUUUCUCCAAUACUGGCCUUUCAUAUAUAUUUUUUUGUAAUUUUCCAUCCCUAGGAAUUAAGUACUUCACAUGAGUGAUCCCACAGCUUCAAUUGAAAUCUUCAUUAGAUAGGGCUGAUACACUCCAUAUGCAGAGAGGGUCAGGGAUAGGAUCUUGCUUCAUAUACUUGCCCCUCAACACGCAGAGCCCUAGCCGCACAGGAAGCAAGCUGAUAUGAAGAAAAAUAAGUAAAACUACCACAUCAAGAGGACAUUGUCUUAAAGUAGAGGGGCAAAGGUUUUAAAAUAAUAUCAGGAAGUAUUACUUUACUGAGAGGUUAGUGGAUGCAUGGAAUAGCCUUCCAGCUGAAGUGGUAGAGGUUAACACAGUAAAGGAGUUUAAGCAUGCGUGGGAUAGACAUAAGGCUAUCCUAGCUAAAAGAUAAGGUCAGGGACUAAUGAAAGUAUUUAAAAAAAUUGGGCAGACUAGAUGAGCCGGGUGAUUCUAACCUGCUGUCACAUUCCAUGUUUCUAUGUUUCUAUGAAGGGGAGACAACCAAAAGCUUAAAGUAAGAAUGAAAGGGAGAGGGUUAAGCUAAGAGUUGAAAGUGGGGAGAUUGCAUAGAACAAGAGAUAGCAGGUCGGAGUGGAAUAUAUGAGGAGACAAAAAGGACGAUGAGGAGAGACAGAAAAUGUACGGAGGACAGAAAAAAGUGGGGGCUCUUGGAUGCAGAUGUAAGAAGAGUUGGUUUGUAAGAUACUGGGGACUGAGAAGAUACUUUGAAAUUUAGAAAUAUUUUAGUAAAACACAUCCCGCUCAAAUACAACAAUGCAUACACAAGGACAUACAGUAAAAUACACUCCAGUAUACACACCAAUGUACACACUAGCAUAUUUUACAAAUACUUUUAUGCAUUCACACACACUUCACACAAAUAUUUACUGAAACUCUGCAUUUACACGCAAUACGAUUACACACAUAUAUGCAUUUGAAUUCAAGAUAUCUACAAAUAACUUCCCGCAUUAGCAAUACAUUAACACAAAAAUAUCUGCAUCCACACACUGAAUACAAAAGCACUGCUAUAUUCCAACCCUGCACACAAAUACACUUGCAUUCAUGCAUUAAUGCUCCACGCAAAUGAACAUCUGGACUAAGAUGUAGAACUCUACAUUCACACACAUGCACACUGCUUAAACACAUACUGUUACUACUCACUAAACACAACCCUGCAUUCAUAAUCUUUGACUGUACAUUUUGAGAUGCAUGUUGAAGAUAUCCACAAAUACAUAGCAUUUUUAUACUUCCCAAUACACAAAACAUCCAUGCAUUUGCACAUUCAAAUGAAUUCACACACAUUGGCACUACACAUUCACAUAUACAUUCACACUGACACUAUAUGAAAAUAAACACAUGCCUCCACAAAUAUGUUACCCACUCAAAUGCCUAUUAAGACAUAUAUCACCACAAUAUGUACACAUAUACAAAAACACUUAUAGGUUUAUUUACUGAACAGGCAAUUGUGGAAGUCUGACAUGGGGAUCACACAGUGUAGACUAAAUUAUCCAAAUUGGAAAAAUUUGCAACUCAUGUAUUUUCCCAGCUUGGCUAUUUUGGAUUAAAUGUUUCUGUUCCUUGUCAAUCCUCCAAUAUUUAUUGCUAACCAACUAAUCGCUAAAAAGUUAACUGAAAACAGAACAGCAAAAUUCAGACUAAACUAGCCAAAUAGUAACCAUAGUGGUCAAUUUUUCAAAAUUGGUAAUUUAGCUUUCAAUUUACUGUAGUACGCUCUUUAGUGAAUAAACCAUGUGUAUUUGUGUAUGUAUUGGACCUCAAGGUUUGCCCAUGGGCCUAGAUUGCUGUCAGUAUGUCCCAGUGUGUGCCUGAGCAUUUUAUACAUAUUAUUGUUAUAUGAGAGUACAAUACUUAUUGUUACAUCAGAAUAUAAAGAUUGCUGGUGGUAAAAUAAUGAUUUCCUAAAUGAAUAUAUAUUGAGUUGUGCGACAAUGUGACAGCUUGUACCAAGGCUAGAACAUGUGGAAUAAUUUCCACAAAAUCAAAAAUGUACGAUCAAAAAAAUAAAAAAAAAUAAAAGAGAUAUCUGCGUCCUGGGCUAGUCAGCCAAACCAACUACAGUAAAAUAAAAAAAUUAAAAAAGGAUACAUAAAAUCAUUAACAAGACGUAAAUUACUUUGGUAACAUCUUAAAAAAAAGAAAAUAACAAUUUCCACGCUAUUAUGUUAACACAUAUGUAGACAUUUGUGACCUGUAGUACUUGCAUUUUUAUUUUUACUACUUUAGCAGUUUUUGCAAUAAAUACAUUUGAUUGACUAAUUGAUAUUUUUUUCUAUGUUUGUGAAUUUGAUUGGGCUAGUAAUGGCGUGACUCCUUUCUACACCUGACAAUAUGUCAGAGUACUUGAAGACUCAUAUGAGCUUAUAUUAGGAUGUUUCUAUAACCUGUAUUCUAGGUAAAAUGACAGCUUGGUUUAGGAUCACUGUAGUUGGCUUAUGCUUUAAAAUAAUAUGAAGUUGCUAAGUAUUUAAAGAAUUACAGAAAUACAAAACAUCAAACAUAUAUAACAGGCAUUUACUGGAAAGUUUUACAUGCAAAGUGACUAAAACGUAUUAUUAUUGGGCUGUUUCUUGUUUAUAUCUGCAGGACAUCCAAUGAUUAUUACUAUCAAUCAUUUCAUUGGUUGCCUAUCUUGCUAGAUACUCUGGUAGGUUAGGUUAAUCUCUAUCAUAUAGUUGAUGUAUGUUUUUGAAAUCUACUUGAUAAACCAAAUAUCUCCGAAGUUCAUAACAUUAUCCCAGGCCUACGGAAAGUGCAUUGUAAUGGGAAAAUACUUAGACUACAUCUGGUUCAGGUGGUAACGUCUUUGUCAAACAUUUUCUCUUCUAAGAUGGUGCAAUAUUACUCAAGUAUAAAACAUGUAGGCAUCUGUCAUAAUCUCCAACAACAUUAAAUCUACAACUGGAAGAGGAGCUUGCCAUAUUAUCCCAGGCGAUAUGCAAGCAAGUUGUGCAAAAAUUGCAAAUAAGCAUAUCUAGAGGUCUUAAAUAUGAAAAAAACAGGUGUCUGCGCUGAUGGGUGUAUAUGAAAAUACAAUAUACAGGUCUUGUAAAUCAAUUUACUCCACCCCACUGCUCUCUAUUCCUUUAGUGAUAGAUCAUGAGCAGAUGUUCUGUCUGGACUCAUUUACUGAUUAAGUGAUUUUGAUGAUUAGUUUUGUGUCUUCUUGACCAAGUUUUUGACACCUGUGCUGAGUUUCUUUCUGUCUUAGCUUGUGUAAGUCCUGUGAACCAAUACUCAUCUUAAAAAAAAAAGGCACUAAUAUACUGCACAUGCUGCUAAAACACAUUUUUUUUCUUGCUUUCUAUUUUAUUUUUUUCUCGGCAUGUCUUACAAAAAAGAAGGCUGGACUUUCUGUUGAGCUGAAUUCAUUGCAUUACUGUGAAAACAUCUAACUACAGCUUUUAAUUAGAAUUAGUGGGAAUUGUAGAGUCCAGAUAUGUAGUAGAAAUAGGUAAAUGGUGAUAUAAUGUUUAUUUCGAACUCCUUGGUCUUGCAAGGGAAAGACGUAUGGAUGUAUAGAUCAUACAGAUGUUUAAGGGACUAGAGCUGUUAUGAGCUUAUAAUAAAAAAAUAUUGUAAAAUGAGGGAUUAAGGUAUCGUGGAGGGAGUUGAAGAUGUUUGUGCAGUUAACUGACAAUCACACAAUAUUAUAUUGAAUUUAUGCCACUGAAAGCAUAUUAGCAAAUACAGUAAUAAGCAUCUUCCUGGUAUAUGUACAAAUCAGUCAUUAUUAAAAAAAAAAUUCUAUCUGUAUUCUCUAGCAGAAAAUAAUUUACUAGUUCAUAAUUGCCUUUUUUAUUAUUUGACACAAACCAACUUAAGCCACCAGGAAUUUUAUAGUUGCUUUGAUGAGCCCAAUAGGUAUAUGGACCAAUGUUUUAUUGGACAGAUCUUGGCAGAGUCAUUUUAAGCAAUGCAUUGAUUCUUCACUGGAGUCUCACUUUCUUUACAACAGAAUUAAAUCAUUGCACAUUAAAAAAAUAAUUUUUGGUCUAGUACACAUGAAAAUUUCACUCUGGCCCUUGGAGACUGACAUCUGUAUUCAGCUGAUAAAGAUUUAUCUACCAUGGUUGAGUGAACAUUAUGGACAAUAUAAAAAUGGACUCUGUGGAGUUUUUGGCCUGUAAAACACAGAGCAAUGUGAGCAACGAAGAUUCAUUGGGUUCAUGUAUUUGGGGAAUAGUAGAUUUAAACUUUUCAAUGUCACAAUGCAGUAUUUAGCCUCACUGGCAUUGAACUGGUUAACUCAGCCUCAUGUCUAAUUAGCAGAAGUUGCAAUUGGAUGUAAACCGAACUCUCUGUGCCUUGCCCAAUCAGCGAAAAUCCAGAAUGUUAUAAGUGAUCUCAUGGAUGGAAUCCUUAAAUAAAAUAAAAAAUAAAAAAAAACUUACAGUGAAAAGUCUGCACUUGCAACUUUUUUUCAGCACAUGUACAUAAUUCUAUAAAUAUAUAUAUAUAUAAUAUAUACAUAUAUGAAGAUAUAUGAAUAUAUUUGGUAAUGCCAAA